CGGGAUAUGGCGCAGCUUGGUAGCGCGCUUGCAUGGGGUGCAAGAGGCCGCAGGUUCGAAUCCUGUUAUCCCGACCA
Molecule: transfer RNA, 77 nt
Filed under: Erysipelothrix sp.
Lineage: Bacteria; Bacillati; Bacillota; Erysipelotrichia; Erysipelotrichales; Erysipelotrichaceae
Description: tRNA-Pro
Rfam family: tRNA
About the family: Transfer RNA (tRNA) molecules are approximately 80 nucleotides in length. Their secondary structure includes four short double-helical elements and three loops (D, anti-codon, and T loops).
Source: RNAcentral